This 627-nucleotide ribosomal RNA is filed under the name Radulomyces hydnoides. Its description in RNAcentral is "Radulomyces sp. JD-2023a partial small subunit ribosomal RNA". It matches the Rfam family "Bacterial small subunit ribosomal RNA", at positions 407 to 968 of the family's 1533-position model. The record is from RNAcentral. Lineage: Eukaryota; Fungi; Basidiomycota; Agaricomycetes; Agaricales; Radulomycetaceae.
AGUGACAGCUACUGAAUCAUAAGAUCUAAAUAUAGUGACUAUGAUAAGAUAAGGGAAAAUAAAUAUGAUAUUACCUUAUUAAAAGUGUUGUCCAAGACUGGUGCCAGAAGACUCGGUAAGGCCAGAAACGCAAACGUUAAUCGUCUUUAUCAGGCGUAAAGGGUAUGUAGGCAGCUUUAAAAGUUUGAUUUUUUAUAUAGCAAGUUUAUUUAAUAUUCAUUUUUGCUUUAAUACUUAGAUAUUAAAUUCACAAAAAAUGAAUAUUUUUAAAAUUUAAAAAAUUAGAUCAAUUAAAGAUAGAAUCAUAAUGGGGAAAAACCGAAUAAUACUUAGUGUAGGGCUAAAAUCUGUAAAUAUUAAGGGGAAUUCUAAAGGUGAAGACUUUUUUUCUAGUAAUGAUUGACGCUGAGAAACGAAGGUGAGAAUAGGAAAGAGGAUUAGAGACCCUUGUACCUCUCACUGUCAACGAUGAAUGGUAGUCUGUUAGUUAUAGUAUAAACUGGCGACGAUGCAAACGCGAUAACCAUUCCGCCUUGCGAGUACGGUUGCAAAACUGAAACCAAAAAAAUUAGUCGGUCUCGAAGCAAACGAAGUGAAGCAUGUUAUUUAUCNNAAAAACCCCCAAAA